GUCUACAGCCAUGCUGCCCUGAACAAGCCCGAUCCCAUCUGAUCUCGGAAGCUAAGCAGGGUUGGGCCUAGUUGGUACUUGGAUAGGAAACCAACUAGGAAGACCAGGUGCUGUAGGCG
Molecule: ribosomal RNA, 119 nt
Filed under: Pteropus alecto (black flying fox)
Lineage: Eukaryota; Metazoa; Chordata; Mammalia; Chiroptera; Pteropodidae
Source: RNAcentral